AAUUAAAUUAUUAUUUAAAUUAAAAAUUUAGUUGUUUAUUAAAUUAAGAAAAAUAUUAUUUUAUUAUUUUAUAGAAAAAAUUUAAUUUUAUUAUAGUUUAAAAGUAUUGAAAAAGAAAUUUUUAAUUUUUAAAAAGAAAAAUUUAAUUUUUGUACCUUGUGUAUCAGGGUUUAUUAAAUUAAUAAAAAUAUUUUUAUUUCUCGAAUUUAAAAGAUCUAAUAAAUUAUGAUUAUUAUUGUAAAAUAACUAAAAUUUAAUAUUUAAUUAGUAAUGAAAUGUUUUUCGUUUUUAAAUAUAUCUAGUUUUUUAAGAAAUUAAUUUAAUUAAUUUAUUAUAAAUAUAUUUUUGUUUAAAUAAUUUUAUAUUAAUAAUAAAAAAUAUUUUUAGGGAUUAGCUUAAAAUUUGAUUUUUAUUAAAAAUUUAAAAAAUUAUAAAAUUAGGAUUAAAAAUUUCCAAAUUUUAAAGUAUGUUAUUAUUUAUUAUGGUGUAAUAAAUUUUUUAUUUUUUAUAAAUAUUUUAUUAAAAUAUAAAUUUAAAUUUUAAUGAUUUAGAAAUUAUGAUAGAAUUAGUAAAUUAUGAUGUAAAAUUUUAAUAUUUAUUAGAUUUUAUAAAGGAAUUCGGCAAAUUACUUUUUACCUGUUUAUUAAAAACAUGUCUUUUUGUAAAAAUAUAAAGUCUAACCUGCCCUAUGAAAAUUUAAAUGGCCGCGGUAUAUUAACCGUGCUAAGGUAGCAUAAUCAUUAGUUUUUUAAUUGAAAGCUGGAAUGAAGGGUUGGAUAAAAAAAUAACUGUCUCUAUAAAAAUGAUUGAAUUUUAUUUUUAAGUUAAAAAGCUUAAAUUUUUUCAAAAGACGAGAAGACCCUAUAGAGUUUAAUAUAAAAUAUAAUUGUUUUUUUUAGUAUUUAUUUAAAUAAUUAGAUUUUAUAUUUAGUUGGGGUGAUUGAAAAAUUAAAUAAACUUUUUUUGUAUAAAAAUAUAUUUUUAUAAAUUAUUGAUCCAAAAAUUUUGAUUAUAAGAUAAAAUUACCUUAGGGAUAACAGCGUAACUUUAUUAGAGAGUUCUUAUUGAUAAUAAAGAUUGCGACCUCGAUGUUGGAUUAAAAUUUAUAAAUGGUGCAGAAGCUAUAUUAUUAAGUCUGUUCGACUUUUAAAAUUUUACAUGAUCUGAGUUUAAACCGGUGUAAGCCAGGUUGGUUUCUAUCUUUAAUAAAUUUAUAUAUUUUAGUACGAAAGGACCAAUUAUAUAAAUAAUAUUUUAAAAUUGAAUAAUAAAU
RNAcentral lists this ribosomal RNA (1273 nucleotides) under Monolepta hieroglyphica. RNAcentral describes it as "16S ribosomal RNA". The stretch from base 1033 to 1191 matches the Rfam family "Archaeal large subunit ribosomal RNA", at positions 2544 to 2703 of the family's 2987-position model. The record is from RNAcentral. Lineage: Eukaryota; Metazoa; Arthropoda; Insecta; Coleoptera; Chrysomelidae.